Long non-coding RNA from Lepisosteus oculatus (spotted gar), 959 nucleotides. RefSeq lists it as uncharacterized. NCBI's taxonomy places the organism in Eukaryota, Metazoa, Chordata, Actinopteri, Semionotiformes, Lepisosteidae. The record is from RefSeq and is a predicted model, not a curated record.
AAAGCACUUUAAAUGGAGUGUCCAGAAAAACAGUAUUUAAAGUGUAAAGCCCCUUGGAAGAUUUAGAAGACUGAUUUAGAGAUGCAUGAAGGGUCUGAAUUAUUAAAAUUGAAUAUUAAUGUCCAGAAUUUACCGUGUGUGCGUGUGGAAUUUUGGAUCUGCCCAAUGGGGACGUCACAGAGAUGUAAUCAGUAUUCAGGGUUUGCAGUAUGCAAUGAAUACCAACUGGAAGCCGUUACUGUCCAUCUUGUGAGAUAAUACAUCUGCCUCUGAAGCCAGAAUUUAUUUUUCACUUUUCAAACUGCCAGCUAGGCUCACUGCUUCAACUCUGUCACAGCUAGACCUGCAAUGUUGAAAACAGCUGGCAUACAUCCUUGGGAACUUCUGUUGCCAGGAUAUUUGUCUCAUUUCUGUACCGAAUGCAAACAGCAGGGCUCCUGUGUCAUAUGGAGGGUUUUUAAAGCUGUUGGCUGCUGCAUGGUUAACAUAUGACAUCUCCCUGCCAAUUGUAUGCUUCUCUGUAUAGCUUCCAACCAAAGCUUGCUACAGGUAUAAUUCAGGCUACAGCACAUGCCCUGUAUUCUAAGCAGAAAGAUUUUUCAGAAAUUUGUAUUGUCGGUUUUGCAGUUUUACACCUUCCCCAGUUUGGAAUUGCUUAUCCUGCCCUCAACUUCUGCAGUCCCUGAGCUGAACAGAGAGAAGUCGCCUAAUGAGUCUGGCCAAGAUGACCAACAUAGCAUUAUUUUGUUUGCAUUUAUUACCUGUUGUAAGAAUAGUAAUUUUUGUCUCCUGAAUUAAAUAGGCUUUAUAUGGUUGUCAUAUUUCUUUUUUGAAAAUCAAAGUGCAUAUUAAAAAGUUACAUGAUGGCUUUCAGUGUAUGUUUUUGUCUCAUCAGAAUACCAUUUCCUACAGAUGUAUGUAUUGUGUAAAGAAACAUAUAAAGGCUGGAACCAGAUCAG